AAACGUGAGCUUCUUUCCCCCAAUUAUUUUCAAUUGAUUUUGUUAUUUUUAAGGUUCUUUGCGUUUGGUAGAUGAAAACAUGUUUAUGUCUGUCUUAAUUAAAUUAGUGUAGUAUGAAUGACUAUUGUUAGUGUAAUUUUAUUGUCUUUAGUAGUUCAGUGAUGUGUUUGGUUGGGUAUAGGAAUAGGAAAUUGCAAUUUAACGUCACAGAAAGUGUUGAAUACUGCUGGAUGGACUAUGAAUUAGAUGCAGCAAUAUAACUCAGAUGUAAUACUACUAAGUGCAGUUGGACAGGAAGCAAGAGAGGGUGUGAAAGAGCCUAGACCAGAAGUUUAUAAAGAUCAGAAUUACUAUGGAGGUAAUUUUAAUCAGAAACAGGGUGGGG
Long non-coding RNA from Spinacia oleracea (spinach), 385 nucleotides. RefSeq lists it as uncharacterized. NCBI's taxonomy places the organism in Eukaryota, Viridiplantae, Streptophyta, Magnoliopsida, Caryophyllales, Amaranthaceae. The transcript is spliced from 3 exons. The record is from RefSeq and is a predicted model, not a curated record.